GUAGGUGAACCUGCGGAAGGAUCAUUAACAAAUCAUCAUAGGUGCCGCAAGGCCCUAUAUACACCCCAAGCCUGUGAGGAGCUGCUGUUGUGGCUCGGAUCGGCUUUGGUUGCAGCCCUCGGGCUGUAGGUCGGGCUGCCGAAAGGUAGCCAGGCCACAUAGACGCUUGUAUGUUUGACAGAGUUUAGUUGCAUCAUAAAAAAUACAACUUUUAACAAUGGAUCUCUUGGCUCUUGCAUCGAUGAAGAAC
This 250-nucleotide unclassified non-coding RNA is filed under the name plant metagenome. Its description in RNAcentral is "partial contains small subunit ribosomal RNA, internal transcribed spacer 1, and 5.8S ribosomal RNA". The stretch from base 207 to 250 matches the Rfam family "5.8S ribosomal RNA", at positions 1 to 44 of the family's 154-position model. The record is from RNAcentral.